RNAcentral lists this ribosomal RNA (24 nucleotides) under Leptographium truncatum. Its description in RNAcentral is "partial large subunit ribosomal RNA". The record is from RNAcentral. Lineage: Eukaryota; Fungi; Ascomycota; Sordariomycetes; Ophiostomatales; Ophiostomataceae.
UGAACAGCUAAUUUGCGCAAGAGG